RNAcentral lists this transfer RNA (71 nucleotides) under Haemonchus placei. It matches the Rfam family "tRNA". Rfam says of the family: Transfer RNA (tRNA) molecules are approximately 80 nucleotides in length. Their secondary structure includes four short double-helical elements and three loops (D, anti-codon, and T loops). Lineage: Eukaryota; Metazoa; Nematoda; Chromadorea; Rhabditida; Trichostrongylidae. The record is from Rfam by way of RNAcentral.
GGUUCCAUGGUUUAACGUUAACACCCUGGACUUUGAAUCCAGUAACGAAAGUUCAAAUCUCACAGAAACUU